Molecule: ribosomal RNA, 458 nt
Filed under: uncultured bacterium
Lineage: Bacteria
Description: partial 16S ribosomal RNA
Rfam family: Bacterial small subunit ribosomal RNA
Source: RNAcentral
CCUACGGGUGGCAGCAGUGGGGAAUAUUGCACAAUGGGGGAAACCCUGAUGCAGCGACGCCGCGUGAGUGAAGAAGUACUUCGGUAUGUAAAGCUCUAUCAGCAGGGAAGAAAUAGCGACCUUUGGGUCGCCAGACGGUACCUGACUAAGAAGCCCCGGCUAACUACGUGCCAGCUGCCGGGGUAAUACGUAGGGGGCAAGCGUUACCCGGAUUUACUGGGUGUAAAGGGAGCGUAGACGGCAGCACAAGUCUGAAGUGAAAUGCCGGGGCUUAACCCCGGAACUGCUUUGGAAACUGUGCAGCUUGAGUGCAGAAGAGGAGAGUGGAACUCCAUGUGUAGCGGUGAAAUGCGUAGAUAUAAGGAAGAACACCAGUGGCGAAGGCGGCUCUCUGGUCUGUAACUGACGCUGAGGUACGAAAGCGUGGGUAGCAAACAGGAUUAGAUACCCUGGUAGUC